RNAcentral lists this ribosomal RNA (163 nucleotides) under Blumea tenella. RNAcentral describes it as "5.8S ribosomal RNA". It matches the Rfam family "5.8S ribosomal RNA". From Rfam's summary of the family: 5.8S ribosomal RNA (5.8S rRNA) is a component of the large subunit of the eukaryotic ribosome. It is transcribed by RNA polymerase I as part of the 45S precursor that also contains 18S and 28S rRNA. The record is from RNAcentral. RNAcentral also lists the same sequence under 3 other names. Lineage: Eukaryota; Viridiplantae; Streptophyta; Magnoliopsida; Asterales; Asteraceae.
AGAACGACUCUCGGCAACGGAUAUCUCGGCUCACGCAUCGAUGAAGAACGUAGCAAAAUGCGAUACUUGGUGUGAAUUGCAGAAUCCCGUGAACCAUCGAGUUUUUGAACGCAAGUUGCGCCCGAAGCCAUUCGGUUGAGGGCACAUCUGCCUGGGCGUCACG